RNAcentral lists this ribosomal RNA (321 nucleotides) under Triticum aestivum (bread wheat). RNAcentral's name for it is "partial small subunit ribosomal RNA". Lineage: Eukaryota; Viridiplantae; Streptophyta; Magnoliopsida; Poales; Poaceae. The record is from RNAcentral.
AUGCCGGCGUACGAUGUGCGCUGCAGCUUGCUGGAGGAAGGACGGCUGCCGGCCGUGGCGCCACGCCUCGUGCCAAAACCCAAGAGAACCAACCCUCCGUGGGUCCGCGCAAUCAGGGCGUUCGGCAACACGGCGUGUGUACUAUUUAUUGUCUUCAUCUUGGCGUUCAUGGUUCCACGGAGCAGGGACAAGAACCACCUCCGUCUGUUCUUCAACUGCGCCAUCCCCGUGCUCCUCUCGCUUGGUUUUCCUGUCAUGGCGUAUAUCCUCACGAUGGACGUUGAUGAUCAACCUCAACCUCAGGGCGCAUGCAAUGCGUGA